UACGUAGGUGGCAAGCGUUGUCCGGAAUUAUUGGGCGUAAAGGGCUCGCAGGCGGUCUUCUAAGUCUGAUGUGAAAUCUUGCGGCUUAACCGUAAGCGGUCAUUGGAAACUGGAGGACUUGAGUACAGAAGAGGAGAGUGGAAUUCCACGUGUAGCGGUGAAAUGCGUAGAGAUGUGGAGGAACACCAGUGGCGAAGGCGACUCUCUGGUCUGUAACUGACGCUGAGGAGCGAAAGCGUGGGGAGCAAACAGGAUUAGAAACCCCCGUAGUCC
Molecule: ribosomal RNA, 273 nt
Filed under: uncultured bacterium
Lineage: Bacteria
Description: partial 16S ribosomal RNA
Rfam family: Bacterial small subunit ribosomal RNA
Source: RNAcentral